RNAcentral lists this ribosomal RNA (491 nucleotides) under uncultured bacterium. RNAcentral's name for it is "partial 16S ribosomal RNA". It matches the Rfam family "Bacterial small subunit ribosomal RNA", at positions 29 to 507 of the family's 1533-position model. The record is from RNAcentral.
AGUGAACGCUGGCGGUAGGCCUAACACAUGCAAGUCGAACGGCAGCACAGUAAGAGCUUGCUCUUACGGGUGGCGAGUGGCGGACGGGUGAGGAAUACAUCGGAAUCUACUUUUUCGUGGGGGAUAACGUAGGGAAACUUACGCUAAUACCGCAUACGACCUACGGGUGAAAGCAGGGGAUCUUCGGACCUUGCGCGAUUGAAUGAGCCGAUGUCGGAUUAGCUAGUUGGCGGGGUAAAGGCCCACCAAGGCGACGAUCCGUAGCUGGUCUGAGAGGAUGAUCAGCCACCCUGGAACUGAGACACGGUCCAGACUCCUACGGGAGGCAGCAGUGGGGAAUAUUGACAAUGGGCGCAAGCCUGAUCCAGCCAUACCGCGUGGGUGAAGAAGGCCUUCGGGUUGUAAAGCCCUUUUGUUGGGAAAGAAAAGCAGCAGGUUAAUACCCCGCUGUUCUGACGGUACCCAAAGAAUAAGCACCGGCUAACUUCGUG